This 597-nucleotide ribosomal RNA is filed under the name uncultured bacterium. RNAcentral describes it as "bacterial SSU rRNA". It matches the Rfam family "Bacterial small subunit ribosomal RNA", at positions 338 to 951 of the family's 1533-position model. The record is from RNAcentral.
CCUACGGGAGGCAGCAGUGAGGAAUUUUCCGCAAUGGGCUAACGCCUGACGGAGCAAUGCCGCGUGGAGGAGGAAGGCCUGUGGGUCGUAAACUCCUUUUCUCAGAGAAGAAGAUCUGACGGUAUCUGAGGAAUAAGCAUCGGCUAACUCUGUGCCAGCAGCCGCGGUAAUACAGGGGAUGCAAGCGUUAUCCGGAAUUAUUGGGCGUAAAGCGUCCUGAGGUGGCUUACCCAGUCGACUGUGAAAGCUCAAGGCUCAACCUUGAAACGGCAGUCGAAACUUGUAAGCUUGAGUACGGUAGAGGCAGAGGGAAUUCCCGGAGGAGAGGUGAAAUUCGUAGAUAUCGGGAGGAAGGCCAAAGGCGAAAGCACUCUGCUGGGCCGAUUACUGACACUGACAGACGAAAGCUAGGGGAGCGAAAGGGAUUAGAUACCCCUGUAGUCCUAGCCGUAAACGAUGGAUACUAAGUGUUGCGCGACUCAACUCGUGCAGUGCUGCAGCUAACGCGUAAGUAUCCCGCCUGGGAGUAUGCUCGCAAGAGUGAAACUCAAAUGAAAUUGACGGCUGAGACGAGCGAGACGACGACGAGGGAGGAGG